RNAcentral lists this long non-coding RNA (2403 nucleotides) under Coturnix japonica (Japanese quail). Its description in RNAcentral is "lncRNA (ENSCJPG00005002929.1)". Lineage: Eukaryota; Metazoa; Chordata; Aves; Galliformes; Phasianidae. The record is from RNAcentral.
AAUAGGGGGCGGGGCAACGAGGGGGCGGGGCUUUAUAAGGGGGCGGGGCUUAAUGUGGGCGACGGGCGGGGCUGAUAAGGGGGCGGAGCUUAUGGGGGCGGAGCUUAAUAAAGGGGCGGGGCUUAACAGGGGGUGGCUCAAUACGGGCGGGGCUUAACAAGGGGGCGGGGCCUAUAAUGGGUGGGGCUUGAUAAGGGGUUGAGCAUAAAGGGGCGGGGCUUAAUAAAGGGGCGGGGCUUAAUAUGGGCGGGGAUUAAUAAAGGGGCGGGGCUUAACAAGGGGCGGGGCUUAAUAGGGGGCGGGGCCUAUGAUGGGUGGGUAUUAACAAGGGGGCGGGGCUUAAUAAAGGGCGGGGCUUAUAAUGGGUGGAGCUCGAUAAGGGGGCGGGGCUUAAUGAGUGGGCGGGGCUUAAUGAGGGGGCGGGGCUUAAUAUGGGCGGGGUUCGAUAAAGGGGCGGAGCUUUAUGUGGGCGGAGCUUAAUGUGGGCGGGGCUUAAGAAGGGGGCGUGGCUUAAUAUGGGCGGGGCUUAAUGGGGGGCUUAAUAAGGGGCGGGGCCGAAUAAGGGGCGGGGCUUAAUAAGGGGGCGGGGCUUAAUAACCCCUAUAGGAUCCACAAGGGCUUCAUUAUUGGGACCCCCAUUUUUGGGUUGAAAACCCCCAUUUUUGGGUUGAAACCCCCAUUUUUGGGCUGAAAACCCCCCAUUUUUGGAUCCAAACCCCCCAUUUUGGGGUCCAAACCCCCCAUUUUUGGGUUCAAACCCCCAUUUUUGGGCUGAAAACACCCAUUUUUGGGUCAAAACCCCCCAUUUUGGGGCUGAAAACCCCCAUUUUUAGGUCCAAACUCCCCAUUUUUGGGUCGAAACCCCCCAUUUUUGCAUUGAAACCCCCCAUUUUUGGGCCGAAAACCCCCAUUUUGGGGUCCAAACCCCCCAUUUUUGGGCUGAAAACCCCCAUUUUGAGCUUCAAAUCCCCCAUUUUUGGGUUCAAACCUCCCAUUUUUGGAUCCAAACUCCCCAUUUUUGGGUUCAAACCCCCAUUUUUGGGCUGAAAACACCCAUUUUUGGGUCAAAACCCCCCAUUUUGGGGCUGAGAACCCCCAUUUUUGGGUCCAAAGUCCCCAUUUUUGCAUUGAAAUACCCCAUUUUUGCUUUGAAACCCCCCAUUUUUGGGUCCAAACACCCCAUUUUUGGGUCAAAACUCCCCAUUUUUGGGUCGAAACCCCCCAUUUUUGGGCUGAAAAUCCCCAUUUUGGGCUUCAAAUCCCCCAUUUCUGGGUUCAAACCCCCCAUUUUUGGAUCCAAACUCCCCCAUUUUUGGGUUCAAACCCCCAUUUUUGGGUUGAAACUCCCCUUUUUUGGAUCCAAACCCCCCAUUUUUGCAUUGAGACCCCCAUUUUUGGGCUGAAAACCCCCAUUUUUGGGUCCAAACCCCCAUUUUUGGAUCCAAACUCCCCAUUUUUGCAUUGAAACCCCCCAUUUUUGGGUCCAAACCCCCCAUUUCUGCAUUGAAACCCCCAUUUUUGGGAUGAAAACCCCCAUUUUUAGGUCCAAAACCCCCCAUUUUUGGGCUGAAACCCCCCAUUUUUGGGCUGAAAACCCCCAUUUUUGGGUCGAAACCCCCAUUUUUGGGCUGAAAACCCCCAUUUUUGGGUCGAAACCCCCAUUUUUGGGCUGAAAACCCCCAUUUUUGGAUCCAAACCCCCAUUUUUUGAGUUCAAACCCCCCAUUUCUGCAUUGAAACCCCCCAUUUUUGGGCUGAAAACUCCCCAUUUUGGGGUCCAAACUCCCAUUUUUGGGUUGAAGCCCCCCAUUUUUGGGUUCAAACUCCCCAUUUUUAGGUCCAAUCCCCCAUUUUUGGGUUGAAACCCCCCAUUUUUAGGUCGAAACCCCCCAUUUUUGGGAUGAAUCCCCCAUUUUUGGGCUGAAAACCCCCAUUUUUGGGUUGAAACUCCCCAUUUUUGGGCUGAAACCCCCCAUUUUUGGGUCCAAACUCCCCAUUUUUGGGCUGAAAACACCCAUUUUUAAGUCCAAACCCCCAUUUUUGGGUUCAAACUCCCCAUUUUUGGGUCCAAACCCCCCAUUUUUGGGCUGAAACCCCCCAUUUUUGGGUUCAAACUCCCCAUUUUUGGGCUGAAAACCCCCAUUUUUGGGUCCAAACCCCCCAUUUCUGCAUUGAAACCCCCCAUUUUUAAGUCCAAACCCCCAUUUUUGGGUUCAAACCCCCAUUUUUGGGUUAAAAACCCCCAUUUUUGGGUCCAAACCCCCAUUUCUGCAUUGAAACCCCCAUUUUUGGGCUGAAAUCCCCCAUUUUGGGGUCCAACCCCCCCAUUUUUGCAUUGAAACUCCCCAUUUUUAAGUCCAAACCCCCAUUUUUGGGUCGAAACCCCCCAUUUCUGCAUUGAAAC